RNAcentral lists this unclassified non-coding RNA (386 nucleotides) under soil metagenome. RNAcentral describes it as "partial contains 5.8S ribosomal RNA, internal transcribed spacer 2, and large subunit ribosomal RNA". The stretch from base 1 to 120 matches the Rfam family "5.8S ribosomal RNA", at positions 35 to 154 of the family's 154-position model. The record is from RNAcentral.
GAUGAAGAACGUAGCGAAAUGCGAUAAGUAAUGUGAAUUGCAGAAUUCAGUGAAUCAUCGAAUCUUUGAACGCACCUUGCACCCUUUGGCAUUCCGAAGGGUAUGCUCGUUUGAGUGUCAUUGUACUCUCACACUCCCGAUGCUUUUGGAUCGGGAGCGGUGGACUUGGGUGUUGCUGCUUUACUGUGGCUCGCCUCAAAUGGAGUAGUGCAACUCUUGGUUGGACAUAGUACGGCGUGAUAAGUGUCUUCGCCGGCGCCUCACUUUGUUGAGGGUGGCCGAUCGGGAGCUCUGUGCUUCAAACCGUCUUCGGACAACAACUGACAACUUGACCUCAAAUCGAGUAGGACUACCCGCUGAACUUAAGCAUAUCAAUAAGCGGAGGA